GAUGAACGCUGGCGGCGUGCCUAAUACAUGCAAGUCGAGCGAACAGGCGAGGAGCUUGCUCGUCUUGCGUUAGCGGCGAACGGGUGAGUAACACGUGGGUAACCUGCCUAUUUCAUCUGGAUAACCUCGUGAAACCGGGGCUAAUACCGGAUAAUCUAUUUCACUGCAUUGUCCGAUCGGGAAAGGCGGUUUUUCCGUCAGUUAUUGAUGGAGCCGCGUCGCAUUAUCUAGGUGGGAAGGUAGCGGCUUACCACGGCAACGAGGCGUAGCCGACCUGAGAGGGGGAUCGGCAACAUUGGACCUGGACCACGAUCCAGACUCCUACGGGAGGCAGCGGAGGGGAAUCUUCCACAGAGGGCGAAAGCCUGGCGGAACAACGCCGCGUGAGGGAUGAAGGUCUUCGGAUCGGAAAACUCUGUUAUUAGGGAAGAAAAACUGUGUAAGUAACUGUGGACGUCUUGACGGUACCUAGUCAGAAAGCCCCGGCUAACUACGUG
RNAcentral lists this ribosomal RNA (497 nucleotides) under uncultured bacterium. Its description in RNAcentral is "partial 16S ribosomal RNA". It matches the Rfam family "Bacterial small subunit ribosomal RNA", at positions 28 to 507 of the family's 1533-position model. The record is from RNAcentral.